RNAcentral lists this transfer RNA (70 nucleotides) under Trilophidia annulata. RNAcentral's name for it is "tRNA-Met". It matches the Rfam family "tRNA". Rfam says of the family: Transfer RNA (tRNA) molecules are approximately 80 nucleotides in length. Their secondary structure includes four short double-helical elements and three loops (D, anti-codon, and T loops). The record is from RNAcentral. Lineage: Eukaryota; Metazoa; Arthropoda; Insecta; Orthoptera; Acrididae.
AAAAAGGUAAGCUAAUUUAAGCUAAUGGGUUCAUACCCCAUUUAUAGAGGUACUAGUCCUCUCCUUUUUA